GCGGGUGUCCCUGGAGGGGAGAGGUGGGCAAGUUUGCAUUUUGUCCCAGAUAGACUGUUGUUGGGACAGGACCGCUACAGGUGGAGAUGUUGAGAGGCGUUGGGAGGUGUCCCGUCUUAUUCUGGGUGGCGGUUGCUUUGGACAUGGCUGGGUUGUCCCUUCUGUUGAUUGGCAUCUUUGGCAAGGUGCAGGUGAAGAGCAGGGGGGUGGGAGACUGCUUCAUCUACAGCGGGGCCAUCAUCGUCUUCCUCAGCCUCAUCUGGUGGCUGUCCUGGUGCACGGGCAACAUCGAGGUCUCUCUGGAGGAGCUGGAGAAAGGCGCCAUGCACAAGGGCAACGGCUUGGCCAAGCUCACCAGGAAGUUCUCCGAAAGGUUGGCCGCCAAGAGGCAACUUUCCCCAGCGGAGGGCGAGAAGGGUCUGGACGAGAUGUCUACGGCCAACGCCUGGGACGUGGCCAGACUGUAUGGCGAGGUGUCGGCGCAGCAGCAGCAGAGGCAAGAGGCGAGAUACGUGGAGCUCAACAGUGUGAGGCCGCCCCGCUUAUCGCACAUGAAGCUGCAGAGGGGAGAGAGGCUGGUGUAAACGGUGAUCGUGUGAGACUUAAUGUAUGUAAAAUAUGAAGGAGACGGUGUUCCCUGAAGAAUGAAUGCUCUGUUGUUGGCAGAUUAAAUUUGCACUAUUUUCCAAGCAGAAGGUUCUGAUUCCUUAAAAGCACGUGGCAACUGAUCCAUUUCAUCUUGUGAUUUGUCAUGACCAGCUUCAUCCGUGACAGAAUCGUUUUAACAUUUUAAAAUGAUCAAACUAGCUGGCUUCACUCUUACUAAAAAUUGACAUCAUAAAUGGCAACAACACAAUAUGUGGUUAUGGUCAUGUUUGAGUGUAUUUGCAUUUGCACUAAUGUGUAAUGUAUUAAAUUCAAUAUUGCACUGUGCUUGUAUGUAUUCAGGGGACUGCUCUCAGUCUCACACAUUGAGCAUCAGCAUGGCACUUUCAUAUUUAAAUUGUAUAUAAUAUUAACUCAUGUGGAAUAAAAAAAAAUUAUUUACAAAU
Molecule: long non-coding RNA, 1052 nt
Organism: Amblyraja radiata (thorny skate)
Lineage: Eukaryota; Metazoa; Chordata; Chondrichthyes; Rajiformes; Rajidae
Exons: 2
Source: RefSeq, a predicted model, not a curated record